GACCAUCUCCUAAGGCUAAAUACUCUCUAGUGACCGAUAGUGAACCAGUACCGUGAGGGAAAGGUGAAAAGCACCCCGGAAGGGGAGUGAAAUAGAACCUGAAACCGUGUGCUUACAAGUAGUCAGAGCCCGUUAAUGGGUGAUGGCGUGCCUUUUGUAGAAUGAACCGGCGAGUUACGAUUUGAUGCAAGGUUAAGCAGUAAAUGUGGAGCCGUAGCGAAAGCGAGUCUGAAUAGGGCGUUUAGUAUUUGGUCGUAGACCCGAAACCAGGUGAUCUACCCUUGGUCAGGUUGAAGUUCAGGUAACACUGAAUGGAGGACCGAACCGACUUACGUUGAAAAGUGAGCGGAUGAACUGAGGGUAGCGGAGAAAUUCCAAUCGAACCUGGAGAUAGCUGGUUCUCUCCGAAAUAGCUUUAGGGCUAGCCUCAAGUGAUGAUUAUUGGAGGUAGAGCACUGUUUGGACGAGGGGCCCCUCUCGGGUUACCGAAUUCAGACAAACUCCGAAUGCCAAUUAAUUUAACUUGGGAGUCAGAACAUGGGUGAUAAGGUCCGUGUUCGAAAGGGAAACAGCCCAGACCACCAGCUAAGGUCCCAAAAUAUAUGUUAAGUGGAAAAGGAUGUGGCGUUGCCCAGACAACUAGGAUGUUGGCUUAGAAGCAGCCAUCAUUUAAAGAGUGCGUAAUAGCUCACUAGUCGAGUGACACUGCGCCGAAAAUGUACCGGGGCUAAACAUAUUACCGAAGCUGUGGAUUGUCCUUUGGACAAUGGUAGGAGAGCGUUCUAAGG
This 788-nucleotide ribosomal RNA is filed under the name Staphylococcus aureus. RNAcentral describes it as "partial 23S ribosomal RNA". It matches the Rfam family "Bacterial large subunit ribosomal RNA", at positions 451 to 1246 of the family's 2925-position model. Lineage: Bacteria; Bacillati; Bacillota; Bacilli; Caryophanales; Staphylococcaceae. The record is from RNAcentral.